UACGUAGGUGGCAAGCGUUGUCCGGAAUUAUUGGGCGUAAAGCGCGCGCAGGCGGUCCUUUAAGUCUGAUGUGAAAGCCCACGGCUCAACCGUGGAGGGUCAUUGGAAACUGGGGGACUUGAGUACAGAAGAGAAGAGUGGAAUUCCACGUGUAGCGGUGAAAUGCGUAGAGAUGUGGAGGACACCAGUGGCGAAGGCGACUCUUUGGUCUGUAACUGACGCUGAGGCGCGAAAGCGUGGGGAGCAAACAGG
This 252-nucleotide ribosomal RNA is filed under the name uncultured bacterium. Its description in RNAcentral is "partial 16S ribosomal RNA". It matches the Rfam family "Bacterial small subunit ribosomal RNA", at positions 524 to 776 of the family's 1533-position model. The record is from RNAcentral.